UACAGAGGGGGCAGGCGUUGUUCGGAAUUACUGGGCGUAAAGGGCUCGUAGGCGGCCAACUAAGUCCGACGUGAAAUCCCCAGGCUUAACCUGGGAACUGCGUCGGAUACUGGAUGGCUUGAAUUCGGGAGAGGGAUGCAGAAUUCCAGGUGUAGCGGUGAAAUGCGUAGAUAUCUGGAGGAACACCGGUGGCGAAGGCGGCCCCCUGGUUGGAUACUGACGCUGAGACGCGAAAGCGUGGGGAGCAAACAGG
RNAcentral lists this ribosomal RNA (253 nucleotides) under uncultured bacterium. Its description in RNAcentral is "partial 16S ribosomal RNA". It matches the Rfam family "Bacterial small subunit ribosomal RNA", at positions 524 to 776 of the family's 1533-position model. The record is from RNAcentral.